AGCUAACUCUGCUGUUUUGAGCCAGACCUUGUUCUGUUAGAAAAACGAGUCAAACAAAUGCCUACUUAAGGGUCUUCCGUUGUACUGUCAUGGCUGCCUCUGUGUCCUGAAUCGAUUCCAGACAUUUGCCUUUUACAGUCAUUUUGACUUUGAGGAAGAGCCAGAAGUCACAGGAUGCCAGAUCUGGGGAAUAAGUCUCCUUUACACCUCAAUUGCAGCUGACCAAGAAGGAACUCACCCAGGCUGGUCAGGAGCCAAUCAGACGUCUUCUUUUGGAAAACAAGGCACGAAGGGCCAGGGCUCAAGCACUAGGAGGAAGGUGCAGGCUUUGCUGCAGAGGCUCUUGGAAUGGUCCUGGCUUCAGAGUCUGUUUGGUCACCUUCUCCUGGGAUCACAUUUCAUCCAGAUCUUUAGGAUCAGUUUUCCUGGAUUUAUAUUCAAUGACUGGUUUCUGUGCCGCCAAAUGAUCCUUCUCUCAUGUCUCCCCUUCCUGUAUUUCUCUCCCCAAAGGGAAACCACAGAUCUACCUAGACUAUGGCUACCUUCCAAAUCCUGA
RNAcentral lists this long non-coding RNA (556 nucleotides) under Chinchilla lanigera (long-tailed chinchilla). RNAcentral describes it as "lncRNA (ENSCLAG00000025176.1)". The record is from RNAcentral. Lineage: Eukaryota; Metazoa; Chordata; Mammalia; Rodentia; Chinchillidae.